UACGGGAGGCAGCAGUGGGGAAUAUUGCGCAAUGGGGGCAACCCUGACGCAGCAACGCCGCGUGAGUGAGGAAGGUUUUCGGACCGUAAAGCUCUGUCGAGCGGGAAGAAAUGUAUCGUGGCUAAUAUCCAUGAUAUUUGACGGUACCGCUAAAGGAAGCACCGGCUAACUCCGUGCCAGCAGCCGCGGUAAUACGGGGGGUGCAAGCGUUGUUCGGAAUUAUUGGGCGUAAAGAGCGUGUAGGCGGCUGAAUAAGUCAGAUGUGAAAUCCCUGGGCUUAACCCAGGAAGUGCAUUUGAAACUAUUCAGCUUGAGUAGGGGAGAGGAAAGUGGAAUUCCUGGUGUAGAGGUGAAAUUCGUAGAUAUCGGGAGGAACACCGGUGGCGAAGGCGACUUUCUGGCCCUAUACUGACGCUGAGACGCGAGAGCGUGGGUAGCAAACAGGAUUAGAUACCCUGGUAGUCCACGCUGUAAACGAUGUUCACUAGGUGUUGGGGGUAUUGACCCUCUCAGUGCCGCAGCUAACGCAUUAAGUGAACCGCCUGGGGAGUACGGUCGCAAGAUUAAAACUCAAAGGAAUUGACGG
RNAcentral lists this ribosomal RNA (586 nucleotides) under uncultured bacterium. RNAcentral's name for it is "bacterial SSU rRNA". It matches the Rfam family "Bacterial small subunit ribosomal RNA", at positions 340 to 916 of the family's 1533-position model. The record is from RNAcentral.